UACAGAGGUCCCAAGCGUUGUUCGGAUUUACUGGGCGUAAAGCGCACGUAGGCGGAUCGUUAAGUCGGGGGUGAAAUCCUGGAGCUCAACUCCAGAACUGCCUUCGAUACUGGCGAUCUCGAGUCCGGAAGAGGUGAGUGGAACUCCUAGUGUAGAGGUGGAAUUCGUAGAUAUUAGGAAGAACACCAGUGGCGAAGGCGACUCACUGGUCCGGUACUGACGCUGAGGUGCGAAAGCGUGGGGAGCAAACAGG
This 253-nucleotide ribosomal RNA is filed under the name uncultured bacterium. RNAcentral describes it as "partial 16S ribosomal RNA". It matches the Rfam family "Bacterial small subunit ribosomal RNA", at positions 524 to 776 of the family's 1533-position model. The record is from RNAcentral.